RNAcentral lists this long non-coding RNA (894 nucleotides) under Homo sapiens (human). RNAcentral's name for it is "long independently transcribed non-coding RNA 2327, transcript variant 5 (LINC02327)". Lineage: Eukaryota; Metazoa; Chordata; Mammalia; Primates; Hominidae. The record is from RNAcentral.
AUUCUCCUGCCUCAGCUUCCGGAGCAGCUGGGACUGCUGGCGCCCGCCACUACGCUCGGCUAAUUUUUUUGUGUUUUUAGUAGAGACGGGCUUUCACCGUGUUGGCCUAGCGGUUCUCCAACUCCUGACCUCAUGAUCCCCCCGCCUCAGCCUCCCAAAGUGCUGGGAUUACAAGCGUGAGCCACCGCGACCCGCCAACACUCUUGACAACAGUGCUGUGCUAAGAACUUGGGGGACUUCAAAAAGUUCACCAGUUCCUGUGUCCAUGGGUGAAAAGAUUUUCUACAUCUUUCCUUGACUAGAAACAGAAGUCCUGAAACAAGAAUAUAACGUCAGGAGGCCAGAGGCUUUGUCCUGCCUAAUGUGUUAUUUCCACACUGAAUAAAAGCACCUGAGUCCUGGUAAGUCUAAUUUGCUAGGUGUGGCAAUAUGACCAGUGAAAAACAACAAGGGCAGCAUUUCCUGCAGUUCGGUGGCACAGUAUGGUUCAAAGAGGUAUAAAAGGAAGUCACAGGCAUUUUAAAAAGGUUGUACAUCUAGCAAUACCUAACAAAAUAGGAAAUCAACUUGGAAAGCCAAUGGCUGUGUUUUGAGUUUAUGGAGAGCCAUAUGUGGCAAGGAACUGAGGGUGGCAUCCAGGCAACAGACUUCAAGAAACUGAGGCUGUCAGUCCAACAACCCACAAGAACUGAAUCUGACCAACAAUCACAGGAACAAACUUAGAAGUAUACUCUUUCCCAGACAAACCUUCAGAUGAGACCACAGCCCCAGCCAUAAGCUUGAAAACAAUCUCAUGAGGGACCUUGAGCCACAGGCAUGUAGUAAAGCUAUGCCAGGAAUCCUGCCUGCCCCACAGAAAAUGUAAAAAAAAUAAAUUUUUAUUGUUUUAAGCCA